RNAcentral lists this ribosomal RNA (390 nucleotides) under fungal sp. Its description in RNAcentral is "SSU rRNA". It matches the Rfam family "Eukaryotic small subunit ribosomal RNA", at positions 828 to 1216 of the family's 1831-position model. Lineage: Eukaryota; Fungi. The record is from RNAcentral.
CGGCUUUCCUAUUUUGUUGGUUUCUAGGAGAGCCGUAAUGAUUAAUAGGGACAGUCGGGGGCACUAGUAUUCAGCUGUCAGAGGUGAAAUUCUUGGAUUUGCUGAAGACUAACUACUGCGAAAGCAUUUGCCAAGGAUGUUUUCAUUAAUCAGUGAACGAAAGUUAGGGGAUCGAAGACGAUCAGAUACCGUCGUAGUCUUAACCAUAAACUAUGCCGACUAGGGAUCGGUCGGUGUUAUUCUUUUGACCCGAUCGGCACCUUACGAGAAAUCAAAGUUUUUGGGUUCUGGGGGGAGUAUGGUCGCAAGGCUGAAACUUAAAGAAAUUGACGGAAGGGCACCACCAGGAGUGGAGCCUGCGGCUUAAUUUGACUCAACACGGGGAAACUC